GUUGACCUCGGAUCAGGUAGGGAUACCCGCUGAACUUAAGCAUAUCAAUAAGCGGAGGAAAAGAAACCAACCGGGAUUGCCCUAGUAACGGCGAGUGAAGCGGCAAGAGCUCAAAUUUGAAAGCUGGCUCCUUCGGGGUCCGCAUUGUAAUUUGCAGAGGAUGCUUCGGGAGCGGUCCCCAUCUAAGUGCCCUGGAACGGGCCGUCAUAGAGGGUGAGAAUCCCGUAUGGGAUGGGGUGCCCGCGCCCGUGUGAAGCUCCUUCGACGAGUCGAGUUGUUUGGGAAUGCAGCUCUAAUUGGGUGGUAAAUUUCAUCUAAAGCUAAAUAUUGGCCGGAGACCGAUAGCGCACAAGUAGAGUGAUCGAAAGAUGAAAAGCACUUUGAAAAGAGAGUUAAACAGCACGUGAAAUUGUUGAAAGGGAAGCGCUUGCGAUCAGACUCGCUCGCGGGGUUCAGCCGGCCUUCGGGCCGGUGUACUUCCCCGCGGGCGGGCCAGCGUCGGUUUGGGCGGCCGGUCAAAGGCCCCUGGAAUGUAACGCCUCUCGGGGCGUCUUAUAGCCAGGGGUGCCAUGCGGCCUGCCCGGACCGAGGAACGCGCUUCGGCUCGGACGCUGGCAUAAUGGUCGUAAGCGACC
This 635-nucleotide ribosomal RNA is filed under the name Penicillium decaturense. Its description in RNAcentral is "eukaryotic LSU rRNA". It matches the Rfam family "Eukaryotic large subunit ribosomal RNA", at positions 1 to 649 of the family's 3401-position model. Lineage: Eukaryota; Fungi; Ascomycota; Eurotiomycetes; Eurotiales; Aspergillaceae. The record is from RNAcentral.